AUUAAAUUAAAAAGUUUUUUAAGACAAUUAAAUGAUAAUCAAAAAGAUAUACCUGAAAUGCAUACUAAUGCGACUGCUGGUAUUGGUAUAAAUAAACAACAAACACAUGAACAUAAUGAUAUUAAAAGUGUAUCAUAUAAUGCGGAUGUUAGUAAACUAUUAAAACUAUUUCAUGAUACUAAUAAUGUUAAUAAAAAGAAUAAAAUAGAUGACCUGGUGGUUAGUGAAACAAAUGAAAAUUUGGAUGACUUUGUUAAUAAGAUUAUUAGUGGUAGUGGUACAAAUGGGGUUAAUGAUAACAGUAUACAACACAAUGUAUAUAAUAACAAUAUGGAUAAAUAUAAUACUAUAAUUAAAAAUAAUAUCUAUUACAAUGAUAAUAACAAUAAUAAAAAUAUGAUUGGAACAACACCUUUACAGAUGCAUAUAUUUGAUAAGGAACAACAUAUAAAUGAACAAAAAAAAAAAAAAAAAAUGUUUACAACUACUGCUACUAUUAAUAAUAUAGGUAGUAAUUAUAUUAUGGGUAGUGAUAACAAUAACCACAUUAGUACUAAUAGGAGUCAUAUGAGCAGUAAUAAUAGUAAUAGUAUUAAAAAUGAUCUUUUUGAUAUAUAUAAUAAUGUUGAUAAAAUAAGAAUGCAACAUGUUGGUAGUAACGGAUUAAAUACUUAUGAGUAUACAAGAGCACAUGUGACUAAUAAUAUCAAUGGAAACGUUCGUAAUACCGACCCAAUACACUUUCAAUAUGUGAGUAGUAACAAGAGUAGCAGUAAUAAUAGAAAUAUGUUAAUAAAUGGUAACAACAACAACAACGGAUUUUUUAGUAACGACGAAACUAGUAGGGACUGUAACGACGCCAGUAUAAACAAAAAGAACCACACCAACAAAAAGGAUAUUAACAAACAUGAUAUUAACAAAAACGAUAUUAACAAAAACGAUAUUAACCAAAACGAUAUUAACCAAAACGAUAUUAACCAAAACGAUAUUAACCAAAACGAUAUUAACAAAAACGAUAUUAACAAAAACGAUAUUAACAAAAACGACAUUAACAACAACAACAUUAACAACAACAACAUGAGAAACAACAAUAAUGACGACAUGGGAGAACAAAUAGAAUAUAUGAAAAGAAUAAAUAAAAUAAAAGGUGAUGUAUGGCAAUAUAAGGAUUUGUCAGGAAACAUACAAGGACCCUUUUCGUCAGAACUGAUGUUUUUUUGGUGGUACUCAAAUUACUUUCCUUGUGACAUACCUAUUCGAUUUAAUACUACUAUGCCCUGGGUUAACUUCAAUGAAUUAUUUCCAAUUGGUUUUUUCCCAUUUGUUAUGCCUUUAACUCCUUGGAACGAUAAAAGAAAUAAUUUAAACAUAAAUAUGUACAGUAUGAUUCAAAAAAAGAAUACAUUUUCGUCGAAUGGUAUUAAUAGUAAUAAUGAGGAGGUGCAUAAUUCUAAUGGAUUAUAUAACAAUGAUAUGUAUAUAGAUAGAAACAGGUUGAAUGGUGUUAGUACUCUUGACACUAACAAUGAUACUACGAAUACUGGUGUUGUGAAUAAUGACAUAAGUAACAACCGUUUUUACGAUCACACUAUUAUCCCUAAUCAACAAUCACCAGAUAAAACCGAAACAAAUGAAAAUAUGAACAAUGUAAUUAGCGCAAACAAUUCUAAUAGCGCAAACAAUUCUAAUAGCGCAAACAAUUCUAAUAGCAUAAACAAUUCUAAUAGCAUAAACAAUGAUGAGUCGUAUAAAACAUCAUCACAAUACAAUCAUGGUUUUAUUCAGUUGUUAAUAGAAAAAAAAACAUUGUUUGAAAAUUUAUUANNNNNNNNNNNNNNNNNNNNNNNNNNNNNNNNNNNNNNNNNNNNNNNNNNNNNNNNNNNNNNNNNNNNNNNNNNNNNNNNNNNNNNNNNNNNNNNNNNNNAAAAAAAAAAAAAAAAAAAAAAAAAAAAAAAAAAAUGUAGAUCACCAAACUGUCGAAAAUCAAUUAAAUGUCACUAAUAGCAGUUUUGAUGGAAAUAACAGUAACAACAUAAACACAGAUAUUUAUAAUUUGCCUAAUGGUCAAAACACAGACACACAAACAAAUGAGUUAAAGGAACUUUUAAAAAACAGUAAUGAAAAUAAUAAUAAUGAUAUUAACAAUAGUGAUAAUAGUAACAACGUUGUAGAAGUAAAUAUUACCGCAACUACUGAUAGGAGUAACACGGAUAUUACUAUAAAAACAAUGUAUGAUAAAGAUAACAAAAACAUAAAUCAUGUUCAUGACUUGAUUAAUAACAAUAUUGAUAAGUCAUACAUAGGUGAGAAUGUUGAUAACCUGAAUAGUGUACUAAAUCAUAGCAGCACUACAGACUUAAGUAAUACUGGUAGUGGAAAUAGUGAUGAUAGUAACAGAAAUUGUAAGGCAUCUUCUAAAAACGAUAUAACAAGUAUAAACGAUAAUAUCAAAAACUUAAACGACAACCAAAGUGUUGAACAAAAAAAAAAAAAAAAUAACAGAAUCUAAAGAAUAUGAUGAUAAUAAACCUGAUAGUAAAGAAACA
Piliocolobus tephrosceles (Ugandan red Colobus) is the source of this 2546-nucleotide long non-coding RNA. Lineage: Eukaryota; Metazoa; Chordata; Mammalia; Primates; Cercopithecidae. The record is from Ensembl.